This 253-nucleotide ribosomal RNA is filed under the name uncultured bacterium. RNAcentral's name for it is "partial 16S ribosomal RNA". It matches the Rfam family "Bacterial small subunit ribosomal RNA", at positions 524 to 776 of the family's 1533-position model. The record is from RNAcentral.
UACGUAGGUGGCAAGCGUUGUCCGGAUUUACUGGGUGUAAAGGGCGUGUAGCCGGGCUGACAAGUCAGAUGUGAAAUUCCGGGGCUCAACCCCGGACCUGCAUUUGAAACUGUUGGUCUUGAGUAUCGGAGAGGCAGGCGGAAUUCCUAGUGUAGCGGUGAAAUGCGUAGAUAUAUGGAGGAACACCGGUGGCGAAAGCGGCUCUCUGGCCUGUAACUGACACUGAGGCUCGAAAGCGUGGGGAGCAAACAGG